Molecule: ribosomal RNA, 490 nt
Filed under: uncultured bacterium
Lineage: Bacteria
Description: partial 16S ribosomal RNA
Rfam family: Bacterial small subunit ribosomal RNA
Source: RNAcentral
AUUGAACGCUGGCGGCAGGCUUAACACAUGCAAGUCGAGCGGUAGCACAGGGGAGCUUGCUCCCUGGGUGACGAGCGGCGGACGGGUGAGUAAUGUCUGGGAAACUGCCUGAUGGAGGGGGAUAACUACUGGAAACGGUAGCUAAUACUGCAUAACGUCGCAAGACCAAAGAGGGGGACCUUCGGGCCUCUUGCCAUCAGAUGUGCCCAGAUGGGAUUAGCUAGUAGGUGGGGUAAUGGCUCACCUAGGCGACGAUCCCUAGCUGGUCUGAGAGGAUGACCAGCCACACGGGAACUGAGACACGGUCCAGACUCCUACGGGAGGCAGCAGUGGGGAAUAUUGCACAAUGGGCGCAAGCCUGAUGCAGCCAUGCCGCGUGUGUGAAGAAGGCCUUCGGGUUGUAAAGCACUUUCAGCGGGGAGGAAGGUGGUGAGCUUAAUACGUUCAUCAAUUGACGUUACUCGCAGAAGAAGCACCGGCUAACUCCGUG